RNAcentral lists this transfer RNA (114 nucleotides) under Penicillium subrubescens. It matches the Rfam family "tRNA". From Rfam's summary of the family: Transfer RNA (tRNA) molecules are approximately 80 nucleotides in length. Their secondary structure includes four short double-helical elements and three loops (D, anti-codon, and T loops). The record is from Rfam by way of RNAcentral. Lineage: Eukaryota; Fungi; Ascomycota; Eurotiomycetes; Eurotiales; Aspergillaceae.
GUCAGUUUGGCCGAGUGGUCUAAGGCGCUUGACUUGAACUUUACUGGGGGUAACCCUGCCAUGUUUGGGCAUCAAGUAUCUUCGGAUGCACAGGUUCGAACCCUGUAGCUGACG